This 288-nucleotide ribosomal RNA is filed under the name Triticum aestivum (bread wheat). RNAcentral describes it as "partial small subunit ribosomal RNA". Lineage: Eukaryota; Viridiplantae; Streptophyta; Magnoliopsida; Poales; Poaceae. The record is from RNAcentral.
AUGCCCCUGGACUUCACCAAGCACUUCGUCGCGGUGCCGACGGAGUUCAAGCUCAGGAACAACACUGGCUGCUCCUGGAAGGUGACGGUGAAGCUGAUGAACAGCAGGGUGACCCUGGAUCAGGGUUGGGCCACCUACGCAGCCGUUCAUCAGAUCAAGAUCGGCUACAUGGUGAGGUUCAAGCUCCUCACUCCAGACACCCUCAAGGUCACCAUCUUCGAUGACGAUUGCAUUGAGGUCGUCAACAAGUGCGGGAAGCACGACGAAGCCUUCGCCGCCAAGGAGUAG